RNAcentral lists this long non-coding RNA (279 nucleotides) under Hordeum vulgare. Its description in RNAcentral is "long non-coding RNA (HVUL_LNC012419)". Lineage: Eukaryota; Viridiplantae; Streptophyta; Magnoliopsida; Poales; Poaceae. The record is from RNAcentral.
CCGAGAUAAGCAGGGCAGGAGAUGUGUCACGAGAUCCUUCACCAGUUGCUCGACAUCACAACCAAUGUGUGUUGUGAAGGUGUGCAAUUGCUCACUGUCGGGGAAAAGAACAUGCAGUAGUACUUGUACUAAUAAAAAUUCAGGGGGAGAUGUGACUCCCUUCAUUGCAUGUGCUUCUGUGCUGCUCAUUCAUGUUGGUGUGUUUCUUUUUGUUACGGUGUCAGUGUGCGCUCUGAAUUAUUUUACUAAAAGGACUUUUAAUGUUAAAGUGGGUAAAGC